AUUGAACGCUGGCGGCAGGCCUAACACAUGCAAGUCGAGCGGAUGAAGGGAGCUUGCUCCUGGAUUCAGCGGCGGACGGGUGAGUAAUGCCUAGGAAUCUGCCUGGUAGUGGGGGAUAACGUCCGGAAACGGGCGCUAAUACCGCAUACGUCCUGAGGGAGAAAGUGGGGGAUCUUCGGACCUCACGCUAUCAGAUGAGCCUAGGUCGGAUUAGCUAGUUGGUGGGGUAAAGGCCUACCAAGGCGACGAUCCGUAACUGGUCUGAGAGGGUGAUCAGUCACACUGGAACUGAGACACGGUCCAGACUCCUACGGGAGGCAGCAGUGGGGAAUAUUGGGCGAUGGGCGAAAGCCUGAUCCAGCCAUGCCGCGUGUGUGAAGAAGGUCUUCGGAUUGUAAAGCACUUUAGGUUGGGAGGAAGGGCAGUAAGUUAAUACCUUGCUGUUUUGACGUUACCAACAGAAUAAGCACCGGCUAACUUCGUG
This 484-nucleotide ribosomal RNA is filed under the name uncultured bacterium. RNAcentral's name for it is "partial 16S ribosomal RNA". It matches the Rfam family "Bacterial small subunit ribosomal RNA", at positions 30 to 507 of the family's 1533-position model. The record is from RNAcentral.